AAAUUUUCCUUUAGACAACCAGUUCUAGGUAAGCCUAUUUGGUCAUUGGAAUUUUGCUGAUAAUAGAAAAACAUAACACAAAAAGAGCACAUUGGUUGUUGGUUUAUAGAUUUCCUUAAAUUUAUUAAUUUGUUCAUUCAUUAAUUGUCUGUAAUUGCUUAUCUAAUUUAGAGUUAUGGUGUGCUUGGGGCCAACUCCGAAUCACAGGUUGCAAGUGGAAAACUUAAUUUUACUACUAAUUAGUACUUUUUUUAUUUCCUAGAUCUGGAAGUCCAAAUUGUUAGUCAGGAAUCAUCUUCUUCUGUAGUGUCAGACACUCCAUUAUCCCCAUUGUCAUCCAGUUCAUCCGACUCCACAGUCAUCCUUGAAUCAACAAAGAGAAGGAGGGUAGCAGAAUUGAUGGAUCGGGAUCAAGCAAAACAUAUGGUUGAAGAUGUCCUCAAGGCCAAUCCAAAGGGUGAAGAAAUCUUCAUGGAGUAUAACAAGACCAAAACUCUUACAGAUGGAAAACGGAAACAAAUGGUGAACAUCCUGGUGGCUGAUAUGAUCGAGACACAUGGGUAAGACAUUCAAGUACAUUUAAAGAAUAAGUCCAUAAAAUUUAAGGAUGUUAUUUAUUUAUAUUCUUUUUUUAUUCUUUUCUCUUUUUUUUUUAGGAGGAUUCCACCAUCAAGUGCACGAACUAAUUAUGCGCUGGGAAUUGUGACUCUGUUUCCAUACCUCCAAGAUCCAUACUCUGAAAAUGGAUAUGAACACUACUACGAUCCUGUGGGUAACACUGGCUACCUAGCAUGGAGGAUUAAGACUGUUCAGCGGAACUCCUCUGUUGGCUCCCAGAGUUAUUCAAGGCCAUCUUAUCAAGAUAGUCCAAGAAGCAGACGAGAAGCUCUACCAGAUGUUGAACAGCUGUUUGGUGAUGAGUGCAGGGAGGCUUUAUCUACAAUGAGGCACUCAACAGAUGAAUCUGUGGUCAAAGAGAGAAUGAGGGCAACUUUCCAGUAUAGACAAAAGCUGGUUCGUGAUAAAGAUGCGUCAAUGUCUGUUCUGGACAACUUUCCUCGUUUCCUUGACAUUCCUGGAUUGAUUGACCAGGACUUUGCCAUGAUGUUUGGAGAUGAGGUGUCCAGUAGGUUUCUAGCGAAGUGGCCUACUUUUUUCAAGCCCAGAGUCAUAAGCGACUGCAGGACACUCGCCCCAAAUCAGUAUGCUGAGGAACUGCUGUCAGCAAUUGAACCCCAACCUGAGGAUAUCUAUGGUAAAUGGAAUUUUUUAAUCCCCA
Molecule: long non-coding RNA, 1279 nt
Filed under: Astyanax mexicanus (Mexican tetra)
Lineage: Eukaryota; Metazoa; Chordata; Actinopteri; Characiformes; Acestrorhamphidae
Description: lncRNA (ENSAMXG00005002728.1)
Source: RNAcentral